Long non-coding RNA from Cyprinus carpio (common carp), 518 nucleotides. RefSeq lists it as uncharacterized. The transcript has 3 exons. Lineage: Eukaryota; Metazoa; Chordata; Actinopteri; Cypriniformes; Cyprinidae. The record is from RefSeq and is a predicted model, not a curated record.
UACAGGCUAGAAAGCUAGGUUUGCAUUCUAUGCUAAUUGCUAAUUAUUUGUUUUCUAAACAUUUGUUUUCCAUAAAAUGGACUUUUUUUUGAGUGAACUUAUUUUUUUACUAUUUGCAACAGACGUGGAAACGGCUUUAUUGCUGGAGUCAUUAAUGCAGACCAUCGGAAUAAUGCUCGGGCAUCCUGUCAAAUGCUGUCAGGGAAUGUUGCAGUUACUGUGUCUGCUAUAUCGACCCCAAUGAACACUCGCCACCAACCAGGAGGUCGUCACUUGGACCCGCCUUUUACUGAUGGUUACGUAUUACAACACAUUUAUGGAAGAGGAGGGAACAGGUCUCUGCUUUGGUACAGAGAUGGACAACACGAGAAGGAGGAGAGAAAUUUGCUUCUGAAGGAGAAGAAGAAAAAAGCUGGAAGAAAGAGGAAAAGAUCCCACCAUGCUGGUCAUUAGAGGGGCUAAAGAUCUGACCAGCAUGUCUCAGAUCAAACAUUAAUAAUAAACAUAGAAAUUUCACA